GUUCAGCUUUCCUGACGACUGUCGCCUCUGCCGGGAUGAUUGCAGGAUUUGGCUCAACGUUAGCCUUGGCCAAGAAAAAUAGUCCGGGAUAGUUCAGCAAGGAUCAGAUGGUGACAGGUGUCCCAGCAGGGUCAGACAGCCAUGGAAGUACAGUCUACAGAGCUCUGGAUCAGAUGGUGACAGGGGUCUCAGCCAACCAGGGAAGACCAGUGUGUGACGGCACUGAGGUGAACUUUUGCAGAUGCAACACUUUAUUCUUUCUUUGCAACAAACACUGGACAAGCCAGAAGCUUCAAAGAUUGAAACUAUUUUAAGGCAGUCUGACAAACCUCUAUAAAGUUGAUUUUCAAACUGUAUCAAGGGUUGAUAGGCUUUUCCCGAUGACACAAAACAUGUGUAACAAAAAUGUGAGAAAGACCUGGGAGACACUAUUGAUGAUGAUGAAUGGAUACAGAUAUGGUUGAAUGCCCAAUCAUGUUCAUAUAAUCGCAGACAUAAAUUACUUCAGUUUAAGACCUUCCACAGAACGUACUAUAUACCAGUGAAACUGAAUAUCAUGCACUCAGAAAUGUACUUCCUCURCUGGAGGUGUACAACACAAAAGGGAACAUAUUUGCAUAUGUUGUGGUCUUUUGAAGGUUGGCUGAAUUCUGGCAAAGAGUAUGUUAUUUUACCUUAACAUGUCUACAUACUCUCCUUUCUCCCUGUUUUUGUUUGCUUGGAAAUGUUGAUACUGGAGACUUAACAGAAGAAACUGUGUAAUGUAGAAUUUAUAGCAACUAAGAAAUCCAUUGACAUUAAUUGGAAGGUUGGUUAUCCUCCCACAAUGUCCCAAUGGAUGGCAGAAGAUUAAAGGUAUACUGUGCAACUUUCAUAAGGUCUGCUGUGACGUAGAAGUCCGUCACUGGCCGCGGGCAGCAUUUGGUACUUU
This is a non-coding RNA of Salvelinus sp. IW2-2015, 931 nucleotides long. NCBI's taxonomy places the organism in Eukaryota, Metazoa, Chordata, Actinopteri, Salmoniformes, Salmonidae. The record is from RefSeq and is a predicted model, not a curated record.